Long non-coding RNA from Bufo gargarizans (Asiatic toad), 653 nucleotides. RefSeq lists it as uncharacterized. The record is from RefSeq and is a predicted model, not a curated record. The transcript has 3 exons. NCBI's taxonomy places the organism in Eukaryota, Metazoa, Chordata, Amphibia, Anura, Bufonidae.
UGUUCCUUCGACCUCAUUCUCUUAACAAUAGAAGAACUGCAGACCUCAAUCGGAGAAUUGUCCAAAAAGAUUGAGACCACCAAGACACAGCUAACCUCUACCACCCCUGAGGAGGACCUAAUAAAAGCAAAAGAAAGAAUCGAGAAACAAUUACAAGAAUUCAAGAAAAAUACAGAACAGAAUAAACGGCAGAAGUUUAUACGUGACGCAGAAGAUUACAGGUUGAACACAGUCUACCGGUGGAAAGGAAACCAACAAAGUGAAGGCUUCAGGGGAUACCAAAAUCCACACUACUCCGGCUCAUCAAAUUCCGACAGCGACAGAUCCGGCAACCACAGAUAUCCGUCCUGUUUUUUAGGCAAUCGACGAGGCAGAUCAAGACGCAGAAGAUCAAGACGAACGAUUGCAGACAAUAGAGACGCGCUCCCAGACUCGCUGAGAAUAAUUUUUUGUCCGCAACGGGUGUGGGUUACUGACAUUGUGCACUGGACCACUAUAGAAGAUUACAAAGCGGGCCUCUAGGGGUGAAAACCGUUAUGUGUAUUAGAUUACUCAUUUAAUGCUAUUGAUUUCCAUAAUGUUGAUUUAUACCACGUUCUCAGAAAAUAUACUUGGGCAUAGAUGUGGCUUAAACUAACUCCAGACGCUUAUUA